GAUGAACGCUGGCGGCGUGCCUAAUACAUGCAAGUCGAGCGAACGGACGAGAAGCUUGCUUCUCUGAUGUUAGCGGCGGACGGGUGAGUAACACGUGGAUAACCUACCUAUAAGACUGGGAUAACUUCGGGAAACCGGAGCUAAUACCGGAUAAUAUUUUGAACCGCAUGGUUCAAAAGUGAAAGACGGUCUUGCUGUCACUUAUAGAUGGAUCCGCGCUGCAUUAGCUAGUUGGUAAGGUAACGGCUUACCAAGGCAACGAUGCAUAGCCGACCUGAGAGGGUGAUCGGCCACACGGGAACUGAGACACGGUCCAGACUCCAACGGAAGGCAGCAGUGGGAAAUCUUCGCAAUGGGCGAAAGCCUGACGGAGCAACGCCGCGUGAGUGAUGAAGGUCUUCGGAUCGUAAAACUCUGUUAUUAGGGAAGAACAUAUGUGUAAGUAACUGUGCACAUCUUGACGGUACCUAAUCAGAAAGCCACGGCUAACUACGUG
RNAcentral lists this ribosomal RNA (496 nucleotides) under uncultured bacterium. RNAcentral's name for it is "partial 16S ribosomal RNA". It matches the Rfam family "Bacterial small subunit ribosomal RNA", at positions 28 to 507 of the family's 1533-position model. The record is from RNAcentral.